GGGUUGUGAGGUUAAGCGACUAAGCGUACACGGUGGAUGCCCUGGCAGUCAGAGGCGAUGAAGGACGUGCUAAUCUGCGAAAAGCGUCGGUAAGGUGAUAUGAACCGUUAUAACCGGCGAUGUCCGAAUGGGGAAACCCAGUGCAAUUCGUUGCACUAUCGUUAACUGAAUACAUAGGUUAACGAGGCGAACCGGGGGAACUGAAACAUCUAAGUACCCCGAGGAAAAGAAAUCAACCGAGAUUCCCCCAGUAGCGGCGAGCGAACGGGGAGCAGCCCAGAGUCUGAAUCAGCUUGUGUGUUAGUGGAACGGUCUGGAAAGUCCGACGGUACAGGGUGAUAGUCCCGUACACCAAAAUGCACAGGUUGUGAACUCGAAGAGUAGGGCGGGACACGUGGUAUCCUGUCUGAAUAUGGGGGGACCAUCCUCCAAGGCUAAAUACUCCUGACUGACCGAUAGUGAACCAGUACCGUGAGGGAAAGGCGAAAAGAACCCCGGCGAGGGGAGUGAAAAAGAACCUGAAACCGUGUACGUACAAGCAGUGGGAGCACCUUCGGGUGUGACUGCGUACCUUUUGUAUAAUGGGUCAGCGACUUAUAUUCUGUAGCAAGGUUAACCGUAUAGGGGAGCCGCAGGGAAACCGAGUCUUAACUGGGCGUUAAGUUGCAGGGUAUAGACCCGAAACCCGGUGAUCUAGCCAUGGGCAGGUUGAAGGUUGGGUAACACUAACUGGAGGACCGAACCGACUAAUGUUGAAAAAUUAGCGGAUGACUUGUGGCUGGGGGUGAAAGGCCAAUCAAACCGGGAGAUAGCUGGUUCUCCCCGAAAGCUAUUUAGGUAGCGCCUCGUGAAUUCAUCUUCGGGGGUAGAGCACUGUUUCGGCUAGGGGGUCAUCCCGACUUACCAACCCGAUGCAAACUACGAAUACCGAAGAAUGUUAUCACGGGAGACACACGGCGGGUGCUAACGUCCGUCGUGAAGAGGGAAACAACCCAGACCGCCAGCUAAGGUCCCAAAGUCAUGGUUAAGUGGGAAACGAUGUGGGAAGGCACAGACAGCCAGGAUGUUGGCUUAGAAGCAGCCAUCAUUUAAAGAAAGCGUAAUAGCUCACUGGUCGAGUCGGCCUGCGCGGAAGAUGUAACGGGGCUAAACCAUGCACCGAAGCUGCGGCAGCGACACUAUGUGUUGUUGGGUAGGGGAGCGUUCUGUAAGCCUGCGAAGGUGGCCUGUGAGGGUUGCUGGAGGUAUCAGAAGUGCGAAUGCUGACAUAAGUAACGAUAAAGCGGGUGAAAAGCCCGCUCGCCGGAAGACCAAGGGUUCCUGUCCAACGUUAAUCGGGGCAGGGUGAGUCGACCCCUAAGGCGAGGCCGAAAGGCGUAGUCGAUGGGAAACAGGUUAAUAUUCCUGUACUUGGUGUUACUGCGAAGGGGGGACGGAGAAGGCUAUGUUAGCCGGGCGACGGUUGUCCCGGUUUAAGCAUGUAGGCGGAGGUUCCAGGUAAAUCCGGUACCUUUUAACGCUGAGGUGUGAUGACGAGGCACUACGGUGCUGAAGUAACAAAUGCCCUGCUUCCAGGAAAAGCCUCUAAGCAUCAGGUAACAUCAAAUCGUACCCCAAACCGACACAGGUGGUCAGGUAGAGAAUACCAAGGCGCUUGAGAGAACUCGGGUGAAGGAACUAGGCAAAAUGGUGCCGUAACUUCGGGAGAAGGCACGCUGGUGUGUAGGUGAAGUCCCUGCGGAUGGAGCUGAGACCAGUCGAAGAUACCAGCUGGCUGCAACUGUUUAUUAAAAACACAGCACUGUGCAAACACGAAAGUGGACGUAUACGGUGUGACGCCUGCCCGGUGCCGGAAGGUUAAUUGAUGGGGUUAUCCGUAAGGAGAAGCUCUUGAUCGAAGCCCCGGUAAACGGCGGCCGUAACUAUAACGGUCCUAAGGUAGCGAAAUUCCUUGUCGGGUAAGUUCCGACCUGCACGAAUGGCGUAAUGAUGGCCAGGCUGUCUCCACCCGAGACUCAGUGAAAUUGAACUCGCUGUGAAGAUGCAGUGUACCCGCGGCAAGACGGAAAGACCCCGUGAACCUUUACUAUAGCUUGACACUGAACAUUGAGCCUUGAUGUGUAGGAUAGGUGGGAGGCUUUGAAGCGUGGACGCCAGUCUGCGUGGAGCCAACCUUGAAAUACCACCCUUUAAUGUUUGAUGUUCUAACGUUGGCCCCUUAUCGGGGUUGCGGACAGUGUCUGGUGGGUAGUUUGACUGGGGCGGUCUCCUCCCAAAGAGUAACGGAGGAGCACGAAGGUUAGCUAAUCCUGGUCGGACAUCAGGAGGUUAGUGCAAUGGCAUAAGCUAGCUUGACUGCGAGCGUGACGGCGCGAGCAGGUGCGAAAGCAGGUCAUAGUGAUCCGGUGGUUCUGAAUGGAAGGGCCAUCGCUCAACGGAUAAAAGGUACUCCGGGGAUAACAGGCUGAUACCGCCCAAGAGUUCAUAUCGACGGCGGUGUUUGGCACCUCGAUGUCGGCUCAUCACAUCCUGGGGCUGAAGUAGGUCCCAAGGGUAUGGCUGUUCGCCAUUUAAAGUGGUACGCGAGCUGGGUUUAGAACGUCGUGAGACAGUUCGGUCCCUAUCUGCCGUGGGCGCUGGAGAAUUGAGGGGGGCUGCUCCUAGUACGAGAGGACCGGAGUGGACGCAUCACUGGUGUUCGGGUUGUCAUGCCAAUGGCACUGCCCGGUAGCUAAAUGCGGAAGAGAUAAGUGCUGAAAGCAUCUAAGCACGAAACUUGCCCCGAGAUGAGUUCUCCCUGAGACUUUAAGUCUCCUGAAGGAACGUUGAAGACGACGACGUUGAUAGGCCGGGUGUGUAAGCGCAGCGAUGCGUUGAGCUAACCGGUACUAAUGAACCGUGAGGCUUAACCUUACAACGCCGAAGCUGUU
RNAcentral lists this ribosomal RNA (2930 nucleotides) under Klebsiella variicola. Its description in RNAcentral is "bacterial LSU rRNA". It matches the Rfam family "Bacterial large subunit ribosomal RNA". The record is from RNAcentral. Lineage: Bacteria; Pseudomonadati; Pseudomonadota; Gammaproteobacteria; Enterobacterales; Enterobacteriaceae.